ACCCAGACUCCUACGGGAGGCAGCAGUGGGGAAUAUUGCACAAUGGGCGCAAGCCUGAUGCAGCCAUGCCGCGUGUAUGAAGAAGGCCUUCGGGUUGUAAAGUACUUUCAGCGGGGAGGAAGGUGUUGAGGUUAAUAACCUCAGCAAUUGACGUUACCCGCAGAAGAAGCACCGGCUAACUCCGUGCCAGCAGCCGCGGUAAUACGGAGGGUGCAAGCGUUAAUCGGAAUUACUGGGCGUAAAGCGUACGCAGGCGGUCGUGUAAGUCAGGUGUGAAAACCCCGGGCUCAACCUGGGGACUGCAUUCGAAACUGGCAGGCUUGAGGCGUGGAGAGGGGGGUAAAAUUCCAGGUGUAGCGGUGAAAUGCG
RNAcentral lists this ribosomal RNA (369 nucleotides) under uncultured bacterium. Its description in RNAcentral is "bacterial SSU rRNA". It matches the Rfam family "Bacterial small subunit ribosomal RNA", at positions 329 to 690 of the family's 1533-position model. The record is from RNAcentral.